This 253-nucleotide ribosomal RNA is filed under the name uncultured bacterium. Its description in RNAcentral is "partial 16S ribosomal RNA". It matches the Rfam family "Bacterial small subunit ribosomal RNA", at positions 524 to 776 of the family's 1533-position model. The record is from RNAcentral.
UACGUAGGGUGCAAGCGUUAAUCGGAAUUACUGGGCGUAAAGCGUGCGCAGGCGGUGAUGUAAGACAGGUGUGAAAUCCCCGGGCUUAACCUGGGAACUGCAUUUGUGACUGCAUCGCUGGAGUGCGGCAGAGGGGGAUGGAAUUCCGCGUGUAGCAGUGAAAUGCGUAGAUAUGCGGAGGGACACCGAUGGCGAAGGCAAUCCCCUGGGCCUGCACUGACGCUCAUGCACGAAAGCGUGGGGAGCAAACAGG